AGUGAACGCUGGCGGUAGGCCUAACACAUGCAAGUCGAACGGCAGCACAGUAAGAGCUUGCUCUUACGGGUGGCGAGUGGCGGACGGGUGAGGAAUACAUCGGAAUCUACUUUUUCGUGGGGGAUAACGUAGGGAAACUUACGCUACUACCGCAUACGACCUACGGGUGAAAGCAGGGGAUCUUCGGACCUUGCGCGAUUGAAUGAGCCGAUGUCGGAUUAGCUAGUUGGCGGGGUAAAGGCCCACCAAGGCGACGAUCCGUAGCUGGUCUGAGAGGAUGAUCAGCCACACUGGAACUGAGACACGGUCCAGACUCCUACGGGAGGCAGCAGUGGGGAAUAUUGGACAAUGGGCGCAAGCCUGAUCCAGCCAUACCGCGUGGGUGAAGAAGGCCUUCGGGUUGUAAAGCCCUUUUAUUGGGAAAGAAAAGCAGCAGGUUAAUACCCCGCUGUUCUGACGGUACCCAAAGAAUAAGCACCGGCUAACUUCGUG
RNAcentral lists this ribosomal RNA (492 nucleotides) under uncultured bacterium. RNAcentral describes it as "partial 16S ribosomal RNA". It matches the Rfam family "Bacterial small subunit ribosomal RNA", at positions 29 to 507 of the family's 1533-position model. The record is from RNAcentral.